Molecule: transfer RNA, 75 nt
Filed under: Cordylochernes scorpioides
Lineage: Eukaryota; Metazoa; Arthropoda; Arachnida; Pseudoscorpiones; Chernetidae
Description: tRNA-Thr
Source: RNAcentral
GUCCAGGGAUGGGAAUCGAACUCACAGUGUGUUCCGCUCACCGGGCAGAUGCCAUGUCCACUAGGCUACCCUGGA